RNAcentral lists this ribosomal RNA (754 nucleotides) under uncultured Arcobacter sp. Its description in RNAcentral is "bacterial SSU rRNA". It matches the Rfam family "Bacterial small subunit ribosomal RNA", at positions 97 to 870 of the family's 1533-position model. The record is from RNAcentral. Lineage: Bacteria; Pseudomonadati; Campylobacterota; Epsilonproteobacteria; Campylobacterales; Arcobacteraceae.
GGCGGACGGGUGAGUAAUAUAUAGUUAACCUGCCCUCGAGAAAGGAAUAACAGUUGGAAACGACUGCUAAUGCCCUAUAUGCCUUUAAGACAUAAGUCUGCAAGGGAAAUGCUUUUGUGCUCGAGGAUGGGACUGUACGGUAUCAGAUAGUUGGUGGGGUAAUGGCCUACCAAGUCAAUGACGCCUAACUGGUUUGAGAGGAUGAUCAGUCACACUGGAACUGAGACACGGUCCAGACUCCUACGGGAGGCAGCAGUGGGGAAUAUUGCACAAUGGAGGAAACUCUGAUGCAGCAACGCCGCGUGGAGGAUGACACAUUUCGGUGCGUAAACUCCUUUUAUAUAGGAAGAUAAUGACGGUACUAUAUGAAUAAGCGCCGGCUAACUCCGUGCCAGCAGCCGCGGUAAUACGGAGGGCGCAAGCGUUACUCGGAAUCACUGGGCGUAAAGAGCGUGUAGGCGGAUAGAUAAGUCAGAAGUGAAAUCCUAUGGCUCAACCAUAGAACUGCUUUUGAAACUGUUUAUCUAGAGUGUGGGAGAGGUAGAUGGAAUUUCUGGUGUAGGGGUAAAAUCCGUAGAGAUCAGAAGGAAUACCGAUUGCGAAGGCGAUCUACUGGAACAUUAUUGACGCUGAGACGCGAAAGCGUGGGGAGCAAACAGGAUUAGAUACCCUGGUAGUCCACGCCCUAAACGAUGUACACUAGUUGUUGUGAGGCUAGACCUUGCAGUAAUGCAGUAAACACAUUAAGUGUACC